Molecule: ribosomal RNA, 721 nt
Filed under: uncultured bacterium
Lineage: Bacteria
Description: bacterial SSU rRNA
Rfam family: Bacterial small subunit ribosomal RNA
Source: RNAcentral
UUAGAACAGAUUACUUCGGUUUGAAGUUCUUUAUGACUGAGUGGCGGACGGGUGAGUAACGCGUGGGUAACCUGCCUUGUACAGGGGGAUAGCAGCUGGAAACGGCUGGUAAUACCGCAUAAGCGCACAAUGUUGCAUGACAUGGUGUGAAAAACUCCGGUGGUAUAAGAUGGACCCGCGUCUGAUUAGCUAGUUGGUGAGAUAACAGCCCACCAAGGCGACGAUCAGUAGCCGACCUGAGAGGGUGACCGGCCACAUUGGGACUGAGACACGGCCCAGACUCCUACGGGAGGCAGCAGUGGGGAAUAUUGCACAAUGGAGGAAACUCUGAUGCAGCGACGCCGCGUGAGUGAAGAAGUAAUUCGUUAUGUAAAGCUCUAUCAGCAGGGAAGAUAGUGACGGUACCUGACUAAGAAGCUCCGGCUAAAUACGUGCCAGCAGCCGCGGUAAUACGUAUGGAGCAAGCGUUAUCCGGAUUUACUGGGUGUAAAGGGAGUGUAGGUGGCCAUGCAAGUCAGAAGUGAAAAUCCGGGGCUCAACCCCGGAACUGCUUUUGAAACUGUAAGGCUGGAGUGCAGGAGGGGUGAGUGGAAUUCCUAGUGUAGCGGUGAAAUGCGUAGAUAUUAGGAGGAACACCAGUGGCGAAGGCGGCUCACUGGACUGUAACUGACACUGAGGCUCGAAAGCGUGNGGAGCAAACAGGAUUAGAUACCCUGGUAGU